RNAcentral lists this ribosomal RNA (589 nucleotides) under Meyerozyma caribbica. RNAcentral's name for it is "eukaryotic LSU rRNA". It matches the Rfam family "Eukaryotic large subunit ribosomal RNA", at positions 38 to 643 of the family's 3401-position model. The record is from RNAcentral. Lineage: Eukaryota; Fungi; Ascomycota; Pichiomycetes; Serinales; Debaryomycetaceae.
GCAUAUCAAUAAGCGGAGGAAAAGAAACCAACAGGGAUUGCCUUAGUAGCGGCGAGUGAAGCGGCAAAAGCUCAAAUUUGAAAUCUGGCACCUUCGGUGUCCGAGUUGUAAUUUGAAGAUUGUAACCUUGGGGUUGGCUCUUGUCUAUGUUUCUUGGAACAGGACGUCACAGAGGGUGAGAAUCCCGUGCGAUGAGAUGCCCAAUCCUAUGUAAGGUGCUUUCGAAGAGUCGAGUUGUUUGGGAAUGCAGCUCUAAGUGGGUGGUAAAUUCCAUCUAAAGCUAAAUAUUGGCGAGAGACCGAUAGCGAACAAGUACAGUGAUGGAAAGAUGAAAAGAACUUUGAAAAGAGAGUGAAAAAGUACGUGAAAUUGUUGAAAGGGAAGGGUUUGAGAUCAGACUCGAUAUUUUGUGAGCCUUGCCUUCGUGGCGGGGUGACCCGCAGCUUAUCGGGCCAGCAUCGGUUUGGGCGGUAGGAUAAUGGCGUAGGAAUGUGACUUUGCUUCGGUGAAGUGUUAUAGCCUGCGUUGAUGCUGCCUGCCUAGACCGAGGACUGCGAUUUUAUCAAGGAUGCUGGCAUAAUGAUCCCAA